RNAcentral lists this ribosomal RNA (483 nucleotides) under uncultured bacterium. Its description in RNAcentral is "bacterial SSU rRNA". It matches the Rfam family "Bacterial small subunit ribosomal RNA", at positions 29 to 507 of the family's 1533-position model. The record is from RNAcentral.
AUGAACGCUAGCGGCAGGCUUAACACAUGCAAGUCGAGGGGCAGCACGGGUAGCAAUACUUGGUGGCGACCGGCGCAAGGGUGCGUAACGCGUGAGCAACAUGCCCGUAUCAGGGGGAUAAUCCAUGGAAACGUGGUCUAAUACCCCAUAGUAAGUUUUUGGGGCAUCUCAAAGAUUUUAAAGCUUUGGUGGAUACGGAUUGGCUCGCGUGACAUUAGCUGGAUGGUAAGGUAACGGCUUACCAUGGCUACGAUGUCUAGGGGUUCUGAGAGGAAGGUCCCCCACACUGGAACUGAGACACGGUCCAGACUCCUACGGGAGGCAGCAGUGAGGAAUAUUGGACAAUGGAUGGAAAUCUGAUCCAGCCAUGCCGCGUGCAGGAAGACGGCCCUAUGGGUUGUAAACUGCUUUUGUAUGGGAGCAAUAAGAUCUACGUGUAGAUUGAUGAGAGUACCAUACGAAUAAGCACCGGCUAACUCCGUG